AUGCGACCCCCUGCGGGUCCGGGAGCGCGGCGCGGGGGAGAGCGGCAGGCCCGGAGAUCUCCCGGGAAGGAAGGAAGCAGAUUCCUCCUCCAGCAGCCCGGGCCUCCUGGAACACCCAACCCCAACCCAGCCCCGCCCGCCACUUGUCGCAGAGCAAACUUGUCCAUUUGUAGGUCCAGCGGUCCGGCGUCCAGAUCCCAGGCCGGGGCGCAGACCUGCGUGGUGGACCCUCUCCCACCCCCUCCCGUCCCGCCCCUUCCUUUCCCUUCCCUGGCUCCCUGGGGUGCGUCCCAUCCCGUCCCAUCCCUUCCCUCCCCUGGCUCCCUGGGCUGUGUCCCUUCCCUUCCCGUCCCUUACGUGGCUCCCUGGGCUGUGUCCCGUCCCGUCCCUUCCCUGGCUCCCUGGGCUGCGUCCCAUCCCGUCCCGUCCCUAUCCCUUCCCUCCCCUGGCUCCCUGGGCUGUGUCCCUUCCCUUCCCGUCCCUUACCUGGCUCCCUGGGCUGUGUCCCUUCCCUUCCCGUCCCUUACCUGGCUCCCUGGGCUGUCCCCCAUCCCUUCCCUUCCUGGCUCCCUGGGCCGUGUCCCGUCCCUUCCCUGGCUCCCUGGGGUGCGUCCCAUCCCGUCCCUUCCCAUCCCUUCCCUUCCCUGGCUCCCUGGGCUGCGUCCCUUCCCUUCCCGUCCCUUACGUGGCUCCCUGGGCUGUGUCCCGUCCCGUCCCUUCCCUGGCUCCCUGGGCUGCGUCCCUUCCCUGGCUCCCUGGGCUGCUUCCCGUCCCUUCCCAUCCCGUCCCUUCCCAUCCCGUCCCUUCCUGACUCCUUUCCCUGGCUCCCUGGGGUGCGUGCCGUCCCGUCCCUUCCCAUCCCUUUCCACCCCGUCCCGGCGCGCGUCCCUGGCGAGUCCUAGCCCAGGGCCUGGAGCCUCCGGCGGUUGCCGUGCGCCUUUCGAGCCAGCUGCUCCUCCCGGGCCCGGUGGAGGAGCUCCCGCAGCAGGUGGAAGGACAGGUCCAGCGCGUUGGGCCUCCUCUCCCGCCCCCAGCCCGCCCUGA
Molecule: long non-coding RNA, 1044 nt
Filed under: Ornithorhynchus anatinus (platypus)
Lineage: Eukaryota; Metazoa; Chordata; Mammalia; Monotremata; Ornithorhynchidae
Description: lncRNA (ENSOANG00000042000.1)
Source: RNAcentral